UACAUCCAAGUCGAGCGCGGGAAGCAAGCAGAACCUCUUCGGAGGUGACGCUUGUGGAACGAGCGGCGGACGGGUGAGUAACACGUGGGCAACCUGCCUGUAAGAUUGGGAUAACCCCGGGAAACCGGAGCUAAUACCGAAUAAUACUUUUUAUCACAUGGUAGAGAGUUGAAAGGCGGCUUUUGCUGUCACUUACAGAUGGGCCCGCGGCGCAUUAGCUAGUUGGUGGGGUAAUGGCCUACCAAGGCGACGAUGCGUAGCCGACCUGAGAGGGUGAUCGGCCACACUGGGACUGAGACACGGCCCAGACUCCUACGGGAGGCAGCAGUAGGGAAUCUUCCGCAAUGGACGAAAGUCUGACGGAGCAACGCCGCGUGAGUGAUGAAGGUUUUCGGAUCGUAAAACUCUGUUGUUAGGGAAGAACAAGUACCGUUCGAAUAGGACGGUGCCAUGACGGUACCUA
Molecule: ribosomal RNA, 463 nt
Filed under: Virgibacillus carmonensis
Lineage: Bacteria; Bacillati; Bacillota; Bacilli; Caryophanales; Bacillaceae
Description: bacterial SSU rRNA
Rfam family: Bacterial small subunit ribosomal RNA
Source: RNAcentral